GCCCAGGGCCUGGACGAGGAAGGGAUUAAAACUGGACUUUUGUGUCGUUGCAGAACAGCAUGGACUCUUCCCUAACUUCCCACACCGAGCAGAACUGCAUGCAGACCAGGUUUGGCACCCACGACAGAUCUUCACGUGCACAAGUGGAAAACGUGUCUUCUUGGCCUCUGCUGGCCCUCGCAGUACGUCCACGCGGACACCCAGGAAGGACCACAGAAGUUCACCAGUCUGGUAAAAAGUUCCCGAGUUCUAGGGAUAAAAGAGAGAGUUGGUUUUUCCCCCCUUUCUGUAUUCUUCAUUACAUCAACGACUUCAAGUCUGUUUACAAUAUUUUUCCUUGUUGCUCAGGAACAUUUCAUGAGCUAAGAAUCAUCACAUUUUUCCCUUAAGGACUUUCCCAGCUUGGUGACCCCUGACUGCCGCAACAGCGUGGGGCCGGGCUGCACACAGGUCUGAUAAGUACUCGUUCUGUGGUCUGUAAUAGGGUUUACAUUAAACAUUCAACAACAUUUACUGAGUGUCCACUCCCUGAUGGACGUCGUGCCAGCCACGGGGAGGCAGACAGAGGCAUGAUACCUGCUUUGUAUUGUCAAGGAACUCACAGAACUGAGGAUAAAAAUAGUUUGGGGCUUGAUGUGCAAAUUGCAGAAUUGUUAAGAAGUAUUUUGGACUUUGAGAAGGAACAAUAAGAGACUUUUAUAUUCUAGAGAUAAUUUUUUUUUUUUUUUAAGGUUAAGAUAGAGUUACAGAGUCUGAAUUGGGUGCGGACAGUGUUAUCAGUACCUCUCCUGCCACGGAGCCUACAGCUUCCUUUUCCAUUUGCCUUUCACGAGGCUGUCUCAGGCAACUCAGAGUGGGGGUGACCCCAGACCAGGCCAGAGCUGGAGGGUUCUGCUAUGACCACCACAGGCCUAACGUUCUUCUGAAACACUGGCUCUCACCAAGCAUUUGGGGCCCUCGUCCACACGUCCGAGUGCCCUGUCCACCCAUGUGCACGUGAGGCUGUGAAUGUAGCCGCGUCCACUCAGGAGCAGCAGGAACACCUGCCCGUGCCGCAGCCACCCAGGAGAGCACGUGGCAGGUGCAAACUUUAUGGGGAGCUAGGGACUUGUUGCUGCCAGCAGGAUGGCCGUCGUCUUCUCCUCAGCCUUAUGAAAAGCUUGACUGACUGCACUGAUUGCUCGGGGGACUUGAAAGAAUCACUUUCGAGGGACACCACGGCUGAAGACCGAAGGGUAAUAUUUAUCAACAUUAAAUAGACACUUGGUGAAGUAUGCAUAAAUAUUUCUUCAUAUAAACAGAACAUGAAAUUAAAUAGUUCAGAAACACAGACACCACUGAGCCCACACCCACUGUUGUCACCUGUAAACACCAGCUCACAGUGAACACAGAAGCAGCUUCUACCCCGGCCCGGGGUCCACGACCCGAGGCCCUGUACAGAGGUGAGAUUUCUUCUCGACCCCCCCACCCCGCCCCCUCCCCUCCCGCUCCCCACACUGCCCCGGUGAAAGGAAAAGAAGGAACCCCAACAACUACAACAGUGACAAAAAUGACAAGCCACGGUGGCACCCCCUCCCACCCGCCCCUCAGUACAACAUUGAGCUUUUGGAUCAAUUCAAAGGAGAUACAGAAUCAUUUUUUUCAAAAGGUUAAGGAAAUGAACUUGAAGAAAUACUUUUCAAAGUGUUAAUACUUUCUUCGGAGGACAGGAAAGUUCCUGAACCCCACCGUGACUGAGUGAGGGUUGCGCAAGGAACCCCGGAGAGCGCUGGCCACAGCUAGGUAACGCAGGGGGAUGCCCUUUUGCAUCUAGAAGGGGCUAGGUAGCAGGACCUCCAACACCACGUUCUCCCCCCACUUCACGGUGUCACCGGGGCGCUUUGCCAUAGAUAUUGCUGCGUGUGACAUUCAAGCGCGACACUAUGAGUUUCAAGCAGCUGAGAUAGCAGAAAUUUUGUUGGGCAACAUUCAGAUUUGGACGAUUAGAUUCAACCCCGUGGAUGUGGUUCGUGGUUGGGGCUCGCUCAGAGGGGCCCCGGUUUGCUGGAACUCUGUCGAGAUCAGCAAAGCACCCGGCUUACACGGCUUACACUCAAGAGUCUGGCUGUGCGCUGCUGCAUUCCCCGGGAUGGUUUGGGGGG
Lutra lutra (Eurasian river otter) is the source of this 2141-nucleotide long non-coding RNA. RefSeq lists it as uncharacterized. The transcript has 2 exons. The record is from RefSeq and is a predicted model, not a curated record. Lineage: Eukaryota; Metazoa; Chordata; Mammalia; Carnivora; Mustelidae.